RNAcentral lists this long non-coding RNA (747 nucleotides) under Homo sapiens (human). Its description in RNAcentral is "HSALNT0282165". Lineage: Eukaryota; Metazoa; Chordata; Mammalia; Primates; Hominidae. The record is from RNAcentral.
CUUGGCUUUAAAAAAAAUUCUGUCCUUUGCCAGAUCUGAAAAUGCUGCCAACCUGGAAGAAAAAGAACCCAUUUUUCUAAACAACCUCAUUUAGUAAUUUCCAUGAAAUUGACAUUUUAGAACUAUGACAAAAAGCCAAAUUAAAACUCAGGGGUUCCUAAUCCCUAAAUUCUGAGUCCGUUUUAAGAAAUACCUAAAAUACACUUUAAAACGAACCAAUUAAUAUAAUUACCGUGGGUUUAAAUAACACAUACACACUGGAUUUGUUUCUGUAAAACACAGCUGUUCUGUUAUUUACAUUUUGCUAUUUUUUAAAUUAGAAAUAUGGCUUUAUAUAUUGUACAUAUAUGUAAAGUAACUUUUUAAAAAGAGUGAAUCUGUUGUCUUCUGCCAUCAUUACAUUAAAAAAAAAAAAACCCAACCACCCUACAGCCAAUUAACUUGGAAAUCUUAUAUUCAAGCUUCUGAAUAUUACUGCGGUUGUAGCAAGGGAAGCAGCACAUCCAGGUAGUUAAUGUAGAAGAAACAGGGCACAGGCAGCAACUUGCAUCCCCUGGCAAUUCACAUGGUAAUUUCUUCGCUUCCACUCUCAGGCUCACUCCACCUUGCUUCACCAACCCCCCUCCCCCUAAGACACGAGGCACCCUCUGGGCCACGGAAGGUGCCAUGCGGGGAGACGCCGGAAGAGCGGGGGCAGAGUGCACGGUUCCCACACCCUUAGCCGCGGGCGGCCGCCGCGGGCCCCAG